AAAAUGACUCUCAGCAAC
RNAcentral lists this ribosomal RNA (18 nucleotides) under Lejeunea isophylla. Its description in RNAcentral is "partial 5.8S ribosomal RNA". The record is from RNAcentral. Lineage: Eukaryota; Viridiplantae; Streptophyta; Jungermanniopsida; Porellales; Lejeuneaceae.